GAUGAACGCUGGCGGCGUGCUUAACACAUGCAAGUCGAACGGAAAGGCCCAAGCUUGCUUGGGUACUCGAUUGGCGAACGGGGGAGUAACACGUGGGGGAUCUGCCCUUCACUUCGGGAUAAGCCUGGGAAACUGGGUCUAAUACCGGAUAGGACCACUUCUUGGAUGUUGUGGUGGAAAGUUUUUUCGGUUUGGGAUGAGCUCGCGGCCUAUCAGCUUGUUGGUGGGGUAAUGGCCUACCAAGGCGUCGACGGGUAGCCGGACUCUGAGAGUGUACGGCGAUACAGGGACCGAGAGAAGGCCGAGAUACCUAAGGGAGGCCGAAGGGGGGAAUACUGAACGAGGGGCGCAAGCCGGAUGCAGCGAGGCCGCGUGGGGGAUGACGGUGUUAGGGUUGUAAAAUACUUUCGCUAGGGACGAAGCGCAUUGUGACGGUACCUAGAGAAGAAGCACCGGCUAACUACGUG
This 467-nucleotide ribosomal RNA is filed under the name uncultured bacterium. Its description in RNAcentral is "partial 16S ribosomal RNA". It matches the Rfam family "Bacterial small subunit ribosomal RNA", at positions 28 to 507 of the family's 1533-position model. The record is from RNAcentral.